Etheostoma spectabile (orangethroat darter) is the source of this 106-nucleotide long non-coding RNA. RefSeq lists it as uncharacterized. The record is from RefSeq and is a predicted model, not a curated record. The transcript has 3 exons. NCBI's taxonomy places the organism in Eukaryota, Metazoa, Chordata, Actinopteri, Perciformes, Percidae.
UUCUCGGACAAAUAGGACUCUGGAUUUUAUUUCAAGACCUGUCAAGACUACAACUGCAGGAAUAUCACUUAUCUGCCUGUGUGUUGUUUAGGUGUUAAUAUCAUAA